UGGGGAAUAUUGCGCAAUGGGGGGAACCCUGACGCAGCCAUGCCGCGUGAAUGAAGAAGGCCUUCGGGUUGUAAAGUUCUUUCGGUAUUGAGGAAGGUUGAUGUGUUAAUAGCACAUCAAAUUGACGUUAAAUACAGAAGAAGCACCGGCUAACUCCGUGCCAGCAGCCGCGGUAAUACGGAGGGUGCGAGCGUUAAUCGGAAUAACUGGGCGUAAAGGGCACGCAGGCGGUUAUUUAAGUGAGGUGUGAAAGCCCCGGGCUUAACCUGGGAAUUGCAUUUCAGACUGGGUAACUAGAGUACUUUAGGGAGGGGUAGAAUUCCACGUGUAGCGGUGAAAUGCGUAGAGAUGUGGAGGAAUACCGAAGGCGAAGGCAGCCCCUUGGGAAUGUACUGACGCUCAUGUGCGAAAGCGUGGGGAGCAAACAGGAUUAGAUACCCUGGUAGUCCACGCUGUAAACGCUGUCGAUUUGGGGGUUGGGGUUUAACUCUGGCGCCCGUAGCUNACGUGAUAAAUCGACCGCCUGGGGAGUACGGCCGCAAGGUUA
This 547-nucleotide ribosomal RNA is filed under the name uncultured bacterium. RNAcentral describes it as "bacterial SSU rRNA". It matches the Rfam family "Bacterial small subunit ribosomal RNA", at positions 355 to 896 of the family's 1533-position model. The record is from RNAcentral.